Molecule: non-coding RNA, 45 nt
Organism: Schistosoma mattheei
Lineage: Eukaryota; Metazoa; Platyhelminthes; Trematoda; Strigeidida; Schistosomatidae
Source: Rfam
AUCCAGUUGACGAGUCCCAAAUAGGACGAACCGUGAGUCCUGGAU